Molecule: long non-coding RNA, 615 nt
Filed under: Pan troglodytes (chimpanzee)
Lineage: Eukaryota; Metazoa; Chordata; Mammalia; Primates; Hominidae
Description: long non-coding RNA NONPTRT007665
Source: RNAcentral
UCGGCGAUCCGGGGCCGGGGGCGGCUCCGAGGUCGUCGGGGCCGGGGUCCCACCUCCUCUUGGAGGAAGCGCCGCCUUCCCACCCGCCCGGGGCCCUCGCCAAGUGGCUGCUAACAAAGCCCAGGGCCCGGCUGCGGGAUGGUUGACUGACAAAGUCAUGCCUGCCUAGCCAGCUUCCUCGUGCAGCACGGUGAAGGCUGGGGCGCCGGGUUUUUACUCCCACGUCCUGCCAACUCGAGCUGACAAGGCGGGCAAUCCACCAGCGGGAGCGUUGGCAGGCCCGGGGUCAGAUCCUGAUUCAGCCAGUUAAUUGCUCAUGGAUGGCAGAGCUGUGUGUUGUCCGUGGUCAGACACACAGGAAGUCUGAAUUGUUAUCCUGCUCUGCCACUGAAAUGUGUAAAAUAUAGGGGGAGUGUUCCAAGUCAUUUUUCUAAAAGCAUCAUCCAACUAUGAGCUGAACACUGCCCCGAGAAUGCAACAGAACUUCAGCUCUGUCCCAAGGUCGUCAGCCACAGCUCCAAGUUUCUUAGCAUCAGCUUUUUCUGAACAAAAUAGUGCAUCCUGCUGGAAUCACUACUGUAAACUGAGUAUAAAGGAAAAUAAACCCUCUUUUUC